Molecule: RNA transcript, 1114 nt
Organism: Loxodonta africana (African savanna elephant)
Lineage: Eukaryota; Metazoa; Chordata; Mammalia; Proboscidea; Elephantidae
Gene: NDUFA5
Gene name: NADH:ubiquinone oxidoreductase subunit A5
Exons: 6
Source: RefSeq, a predicted model, not a curated record
UUAAGAGCUAGCUGGAAAGUCUGGAGGGUCGAACCCACUAAGCCAUCAGCCGCUCCACAGGAGAGCGACGUGGCAGUCGGCUUUAUGGAGGCAGUUCUACUCUGUCCUAUAGGGUCGCUAAGAGUGAUAAUCUACUCGAAGGCAACAGGUUUUCGGUUUGGUUUAAACUGAGGAAGGGAAGCUCUGAGAGAGUCUCCGAUAGAUAAGCAAAGUGCAGGUUACUACAGCGACUAUUUCGAAGAUUUUUAGUAGCCUGGAGUGAUUCCUUCAACGUUCCGGCAAGCAGUCAACGGUGACACGGACAAAUACCAGCGUCUAAAUCAGGUAACAAACAACCCUUUGCCCAAUUUCCGCCCCUAAUCCCGGCUAAAACGCUUGCGUACUCAAUGCGCAUGCGUUAACUUUCCCUUUCGGGAUGGGCGGGGUAAAGUCCGCUCGGACAGAGGCCCUGAGGGGCGGGGCCAGGAUGUUUCCAAGGUGACGGAGCCGCAGUCUCUGUGGUGGAUUGAGCGGGUCUGAGUGAAGUUCCCAGAGGGCUGCGCGGCGUCGGCUCGUCGGCGUUGUCAUGGCGGGGCUGCUUAAGAAGACCACUGGCCUUGUGGGAUUGGCUGUAAGUGAGAAUCCACACGAGAGACUGAAAACAGUAUAUGCAAAGAUACUUGAGAUUCUUCAGCAAAUGCCUAAAAGUGCAGCAUAUAGAAAGUAUACAGAAGAAAUUACAAAUGAGAGGCUGAGUAAAGUUAAUGCAGAACCAGAUGUUAAAAAAUUAGAAGACCAGCUUCAGAGUGGACAAAUCGAAGAAGUGAUUUUUCAGGUUGUUAUGCAAAAAUCAGCAAUAUGCAAAAAUGGAGGAUGACCACAUCAGAUCACAAAAUGGAGGAUGACUACAUCAUUACACAAGUGCAUCAUUAUAUAACUGCCAAACUGAGAAUCAUGGCCCAGCUGAAAAUGAACUAAGUCUGGCGAGAAAAAUGGUACAGUGGAAACCAUGGGAGCCUUUAGUGGAAGAACCCCCUGCCAACCAGUGGAAAUGGCCAAUAUAAUCAUCAUUAAAUGACUUUGGUGUGUUGAUAGGAAAAUGAUUAUAAUUAAAUGUUCUGUUGUCUUAUAAAAA